Molecule: small nuclear RNA, 180 nt
Filed under: Ursus thibetanus thibetanus
Lineage: Eukaryota; Metazoa; Chordata; Mammalia; Carnivora; Ursidae
Description: U2 spliceosomal RNA (ENSUTTG00000006243.1)
Rfam family: U2 spliceosomal RNA
About the family: U2 is a small nuclear RNA (snRNA) component of the spliceosome (involved in pre-mRNA splicing). Complementary binding between U2 snRNA (in an area lying towards the 5' end but 3' to hairpin I) and the branchpoint sequence (BPS) of the intron results the bulging out of an unpaired adenosine, on the BPS, which initiates a nucleophilic attack at the intronic 5' splice site, thus starting the first of two transesterification reactions that mediate splicing.
Source: RNAcentral
AUCACUUCCCAGCCUUUUGGCUAAGAUGAAGUUCUUAUGAGUUUAAUAUCUGAUGCAUCCUCUAUCCAAGGACAAUAUAUGAAAUGGCUUUUUGGAGCAGGGAGAUGGAAAAGGACCCUGCUCUUUCUACUCUGUGCACGGACCUGGUCUUGCAGUACUUCCAGGAAUGGUGCACCCCCU